GGGGGAAUAGCUCAGUGGUAGAGCAUUCGACUGCAGGUCGAGAAGUCUCCGGUUCAAAUCUGGGUGUCCCCU
Trichonephila inaurata madagascariensis is the source of this 72-nucleotide non-coding RNA. NCBI's taxonomy places the organism in Eukaryota, Metazoa, Arthropoda, Arachnida, Araneae, Nephilidae. The record is from the annotation of a GenBank genome assembly.